This 517-nucleotide ribosomal RNA is filed under the name uncultured bacterium. RNAcentral's name for it is "bacterial SSU rRNA". It matches the Rfam family "Bacterial small subunit ribosomal RNA", at positions 993 to 1509 of the family's 1533-position model. The record is from RNAcentral.
GAACUUAGCAGAGAUGCUUUGGUGCCUUCGGGAACUCUGAGACAGGUGCUGCAUGGCUGUCGUCAGCUCGUGUUGUGAAAUGUUGGGUUAAGUCCCGCAACGAGCGCAACCCUUUAUCCUUUGUUGCCAGCGGUUAGGCCGGGAACUCAAAGGAGACUGCCAGUGAUAAACUGGAGGAAGGUGGGGAUGACGUCAAGUCAUCAUGGCCCUUACGAGUAGGGCUACACACGUGCUACAAUGGCGCAUACAAAGAGAAGCGACCUCGCGAGAGCAAGCGGACCUCAUAAAGUGCGUCGUAGUCCGGAUUGGAGUCUGCAACUCGACUCCAUGAAGUCGGAAUCGCUAGUAAUCGUGGAUCAGAAUGCCACGGUGAAUACGUUCCCGGGCCUUGUACACACCGCCCGUCACACCAUGGGAGUGGGUUGCAAAAGAAGUAGGUAGCUUAACCUUCGGGAGGGCGCUUACCACUUUGUGAUUCAUGACUGGGGUGAAGUCGUAACAAGGUAAGCGUAGUGCU